This 431-nucleotide ribosomal RNA is filed under the name uncultured bacterium. Its description in RNAcentral is "partial 16S ribosomal RNA". It matches the Rfam family "Bacterial small subunit ribosomal RNA", at positions 29 to 507 of the family's 1533-position model. The record is from RNAcentral.
AACGAACGCUGGCGGCAGGCUUAACACAUGCGAGUCGAACGCCCCGCCAGGGGAGUGGCCGACGGGUGAGUAACGCGUGGGAACAUACCCUUUUCUACGGAAUAGCUCUGGGAAACUGGAAUUAAUACCGUAUACGCCCUACGGGGGAAAGAUUUAUCGGGGAAGGAUUGGCCCGCGUUGGAUUAGCUAGUUGGUGGGGUAAAGGCCUACCAAGGCGACGAUCCAUAGCUGGUCUGAGAGGAUGAUCAGCCACAUUGGGACUGAGACACGGCCCAAACUCCUACGGGAGGCAGCAGUGGGGAAUAUUGGACAAUGGGCGCAAGCCUGAUCCAGCCAUGCCGCGUGAGUGAUGAAGGCCUUAGGGUUGUAAAGCUCUUUCACCGAUGAAGAUAAUGACGGUAGUCGGAGAAGAAGCCCCGGCUAACUUCGUG